RNAcentral lists this small nuclear RNA (311 nucleotides) under Canis lupus dingo (dingo). RNAcentral describes it as "7SK RNA (ENSCAFG00020000802.1)". It matches the Rfam family "7SK RNA". Rfam says of the family: 7SK was discovered as an abundant small nuclear RNA in the mid-70s but a possible function has only recently been suggested. Lineage: Eukaryota; Metazoa; Chordata; Mammalia; Carnivora; Canidae. The record is from Rfam by way of RNAcentral.
GGAUGUGGGGGCGAUCUGGCUGUGACAUCUGUCACUCCAUUGACCACCAUAGUUGAUUUGACUGAGCUGGCUGGCUAGGUUGGUGUCCCCUUCCCUCCUUACUGCUCUUUGUGCAUCCCUCCUGAAGCUAUCCUUGGCUGAAGAGGGCCACCUUCCCUGAUAGAGGAGGACUAUUCUGUCAAGGGUAUAGGAGUAGCUGCACUCCCCUGCUAGAACCUCCAAACAAGCCUUUGAAUUGGAGUAAUGCUAUAACUAUGACCUCCUAAUUUUCUUUUUCUCUUACUAUAAAAUAAUAAUUCUAAUAAUUCAAA